GGCCCCAUCGUCUAUCGGCUAGGACAUUGGGUUUUCAUCCCAAAAAGCCGGGUUCAACUCCCGGUGGGGUCA
Molecule: transfer RNA, 72 nt
Filed under: Candidatus Magasanikiibacteriota bacterium
Lineage: Bacteria; Candidatus Magasanikiibacteriota
Description: Candidatus Magasanikbacteria bacterium tRNA-Glu
Rfam family: tRNA
About the family: Transfer RNA (tRNA) molecules are approximately 80 nucleotides in length.
Source: RNAcentral